Molecule: ribosomal RNA, 465 nt
Filed under: uncultured bacterium
Lineage: Bacteria
Description: partial 16S ribosomal RNA
Rfam family: Bacterial small subunit ribosomal RNA
Source: RNAcentral
GAUGAACGCUGGCGGCGUGCUUAACACAUGCAAGUCGAACGGAAAGGCCCAAGCUUGCUUGGGUACUCGAGUGGCGAACGGGUGAGUAACACGUGGGGGAUCUGCCCUGCACUUCGGGAUAAGCCUGGGAAACUGGGUCUCAUACCGGAUAGGAUCACAUUUUGGAUGGUGUGGUGGAAAGUCUUUCGGUUUUGGAUGAGCUCGCGGCCUAUCCGCUUGUUGGUGGGGUAAUGGCCUACCAAGGCGUCGACGGGUAGCCGGCCUGAGAGGGUGUACGGCGACAAUAGGACUGAGGGACGGACCAGACUGCUACGGGAGGCAGCGGUGGGGAAUAUGGCACAAUGGGCGCAAGCCUGAUGCAGCGACGCCGCGUGGGGGAUGACGGCCUUCGGGUUGUAAACUCCUUUCGCUAGGGACGAAGCGCAAGUGACGGUACCUGGAGAAGAAGCACCGGCUAACUACGUG